UGGACCAUCUGUCUCGCUGGCUGCCCACACAACAAAGAAGGACCCAGGAUGGUGUUAGUACAUGUUGGAUAUCUGGUUCUCCCCGUCUUCGGCUCAGUUAGAAAUAGAGUAUCGAGGCUGGCUCUACAUUCCGCAUUUCUCAGACCUUUGUCCCCCUCCAUUGUGUAGCUAACGAUCAUCUGCUGCUGUCUGCCGUAGCCUCUGCCUGUUCUCUGCAUCUAGCUGUAUUGUGAACCCCUUCUUCCUCAUUUCCUCUUUCCAUCUGAAGACGACAUUGGCAUUAAAACCGAGUUCCCACUCAUACCGUAUCCUUCUGUGUAACAGACUAAAGAAUAACACCUUCUGUAGAAAACAGUUUGUCUUUAUUUAAACUGUCAUGUUGCUCUUUAGUGAAUAACCCAUUGUAGCAUUAGACUUUACUACAGACUGUCAUUGUGAUUCUCCCAUUCAGUGUGGAUAGACUACAUUCUGCUGUAAAUUUCUGUAAAGUGGAUACAUUUUGAUCCUCCCCGAUUCGAUUACAGCCAGGCUUGAUCGAACUCUUUGAAUAUUGUCUCCAUCCCCUGUUUGCAAAGGUGCAUUGUACCAGCUUUUGUCAUCAAUAAAGCGCUUGUAUGAUCGCCUUUUCUAAAUCACUUUUGACCAAUAAUCCCGUUAUCCUAACAUCCGCAAAUUGGCCAAUACCCGCAUUACUAAAAUCACAGUAAUUUUUGUGAUGUUAUUUUCACCUUUGAUGGUCCACUGCACCUGCUACGGUGGCGUCCAAACGGCUGUUCAUAAUCCUAUCCGUGUGUGAAAGCCUUUGUUCCUGUUAGCCGAACUGAUUUUGUCGGUCACAAUAAAGUGGCGAGACUCAGGUCUAACUCAUCUUGCCAUUUUGAAAAUGCCCCCUAUCAUUCACAGUCCCCCUCGCAAGUCUUUCUUCAGACACCUCCAGAAUGCUAUCCAUUUUACAGGGAUGUGUAUAUCCUGCACUGCUGUAGAACUCCUCUCUAGAUUCAAAAUGUCUUUUUAUUCUUUGGUUGUGGUUUUCUACCUUAUGUUCUUGUAUUAGAUCCUAAUGCAUGGUCAUUUUAUACUUUUGUUUUUCCACAUUGAACAGCAGAUUCCAAUGUAAUGUUUGUGUAGAGAUGUCCCUGCUGUACUGAAAUUUGCUGUAAGCAUACACAUCUACUCAUUGGAUGCUGCUUCUGUUAUGUUACCCCUACAGAGAGCAUGGUUGGGCCUUGCCUUUGGUCUUUAUCUGCAUGGUAUUAUUAUGGUUAUGUAGGACAUAUUACUCUUAUUAUUACUAUUAUCACACAGUGCAACACAUACUAAUAUUUUCCAAUAAAGA
RNA transcript from Xiphias gladius (swordfish), 1336 nucleotides. It is a transcript of the gene named ring finger protein 165a, with no coding region annotated. Lineage: Eukaryota; Metazoa; Chordata; Actinopteri; Istiophoriformes; Xiphiidae. The record is from RefSeq and is a predicted model, not a curated record. The transcript has 2 exons.